RNAcentral lists this ribosomal RNA (1522 nucleotides) under uncultured bacterium. RNAcentral describes it as "16S ribosomal RNA". It matches the Rfam family "Bacterial small subunit ribosomal RNA". The record is from RNAcentral.
AGAGUUUGAUCCUGGCUCAGAAUGAACGCUGGCGGCGUGCUUAACACAUGCAAGUCGCACGAGAAAGUUUCAGCUUGCUGAGACGAGUAAAGUGGCGCACGGGUGAGUAACACGUGGGUAACCUGCCCCCGAAUUCGGGAUAACGUUGCGAAAGCGGCGCUAAUACCGAAUGAUGUCCGCGAAUCUUCGGGUUUGCGGAUGAAAGAUGACCUCUACGUGUAAGUUGUUGUUUGGGGAUGGGCCCGCGCACCAUUAGCUUGUUGGUAGGGUAACGGCCUACCAAGGCUACGAUGGUUAGCUGGUCUGAGAGGAUGAUCAGCCACACUGGAACUGGAACACGGUCAAGACUCCUACGGGAGGCAGCAGUGGGGAAUAUUGCGCAAUGGGGGAAACCCUGACGCAGCCACGCCGCGUGAGUGAUGAAGGCCUUCGGGUCGUAAAGCUCUGUCAGAUGGAAAGAAAGCCUUUUUGGCGAAUAACCAUAAGGUUUGACGGUACCAUCAAAGGAAGCACCGGCUAACUCCGUGCCAGCAGCCGCGGUAAUACGGAGGGUGCAAGCGUUGAUCGGAAUUACUGGGCGUAAAGGGCGUGUAGGCGGUUUGACAAGUCAGAUGUGAAAUCCCAGGGCUUAACNUUGGAAGUGCAUUUGAAACUACUUGGCUUGAGUACGGGGAGAGGAGUGUGGAAUUCCCGGUGUAGAGGUGAAAUUCAUAGAUAUCGGGAGGAACACCAGUGGGGAAGGCGGCACUCUGGACCGAUACUGACGCUGAUGCGCGAAAGCGUGGGUAGCAAACAGGAUUAGAGACCCUGGUAGUCCACGCCGUAAACGUUGUGCACUAGGUGUAGAGGGUAUCGACCCCUUCUGUGCCGCAGCUAACGCAUUAAGUGCACCGCCUGGGGAGUACGGUCGCAAGAUUAAAACUCAAAGGAAUUGACGGGGGCCCGCACAAGCGGUGGAGCAUGUGGUUUAAUUCGACGCAACGCGAAGAACCUUACCUGGACUUGACAUCUCCGGAAUCCUCUGGAAACAGAGGAGUGCCUCGUAAGGGGAGCCGGAUGACAGGUGCUGCAUGGCUGUCGUCAGCUCGUGUCGUGAGAUGUUGGGUUAAGUCCCGCAACGAGCGCAACCCUCAUCUCUAGUUGCCACCAUUUAGUUGGGCACUCUAGAGAAACUCCUCCGGUCAACGGGGAGGAAGGUGGGGAUGACGUCAAGUCCUCAUGGCCUUUAUGUCCAGGGCUACACACGUGCUACAAUGGCAGGUACAAAGGGCAGCUAACCUGCGAGGGUACGCAAAUCCCAAAAAGCCUGUCCCAGUUCGGAUUGGAGUCUGCAACUCGACUCCAUGAAGUUGGAAUCGCUAGUAAUCGUGGAUCAGCAUGCCACGGUGAAUACGUUCCCGGGCCUUGUACACACCGCCCGUCACACCACGAAAGUUGAUUGCACCAGAAAUCGCUGGGCUAACCGCAAGGAGGCAGGCGCCUAAGGUGUGAUUAAUGAUUGGGGUGAAGUCGUAACAAGGUA